RNAcentral lists this long non-coding RNA (230 nucleotides) under Elaeis guineensis (African oil palm). RNAcentral describes it as "long non-coding RNA (EGUI_LNC063080)". Lineage: Eukaryota; Viridiplantae; Streptophyta; Magnoliopsida; Arecales; Arecaceae. The record is from RNAcentral.
AGUAGCCUAGAUUAAGUCUGAUGAACUUCUCAUCAAAUAUAAUGGAUAUGAAUAUGGAUAUUCCUAUAUUCGAACUGCUAUUCAAUCAAUUUUUAGCCCUAUGCUAGAUCAUCUUGCCUUCACAUUAAGCAUGCAAGCUUAUGCAUAUACAAAUUUUGCCAAUACUUGUACAUACAUAGAACAAGCCUUUUUCUCCCAAUUUGCAAGUCCAUUUUUGCAAGGCAUGGUCU